CGUAGGGUGAACCUGCGGAGGGAUCAUUACCGAGUUUUCAACUCCCUAACCCUUCUGUGAACCUACCUAUCGUUGCUUCGGCGGACUCGCCCCAGCCCGGACGCGGACUGGACCAGCGGCCCGCCGGGGACCUCAAACUCUUGUAUUCCAGCAUCUUCUGAAUACGCCGCAAGGCAAAACAAAUGAAUCAAAACUUUCAACAACGGAUCUCUUGGCUCUGGCAUCGAUGAAGAACGCAGCGAAACGCGAUAAGUAAUGUGAAUUGCAGAAUCCAGUGAAUCAUCGAAUCUUUGAACGCACAUUGCGCCCGCCAGCAUUCUGGCGGGCAUGCCUGUUCGAGCGUCAUUUCAACCCUCGACCUCCCCUUGGGGGGGUCGGCGUUGGGGACCGGCAGCACACCGCCGGCCCUGAAAUGGAGUGGCGGCCCGUCCGCGGCGACCUCUGCGCAGUAAUACAGCUCGCACCGGAACCCCGACGCGGCCACGCCGUAAAACACCCAACUUCUGAACGUUGACCUCGAAUCAGGUAGGACUACCCGCUGAACUUAAGCAUAUCAAUAAGCGGAGGA
RNAcentral lists this ribosomal RNA (568 nucleotides) under Beauveria bassiana. RNAcentral's name for it is "eukaryotic LSU rRNA". The stretch from base 192 to 345 matches the Rfam family "5.8S ribosomal RNA". The record is from RNAcentral. Lineage: Eukaryota; Fungi; Ascomycota; Sordariomycetes; Hypocreales; Cordycipitaceae.